CCACGCUGAUUAUUUGAGACAUUAAUGUUGGUUGUUUUACUCAUUUAGAUAUCAACGAAUGCGCACCUGCCCCAUGUAAGAACGGCGCCACGUGCAAUAAUCUUCAGAACGCGUACUCGUGCACAUGCUCACCGGGCUGGCAAGGCAACAACUGUGAACAGGAUAUCAACGAAUGCGAACCUGCCCCAUGUGAGAACGGCGCCACGUGCAAUAAUCUUCAGAACGCGUACUCGUGCACAUGCUCACCGGGCUGGCAAGGCAACAACUGUGAUCAGGAUAUUAACGAAUGCUCGCCCGCUCUGUGUAAGAACGGCGCCACGUGCAGCAACCUCCCGAAUGCGUACUCAUGCACGUGUGUACCUGGCUGGAAGGGAAAAAACUGUGAACAGGAUAUCGACGAAUGUGCCCCAAACCCUUGUAAGUACGGUGCGACGUGCAACAAUCUUAAGAACCGGUAUUCGUGCCAGUGUUCACCGGGCUGGAAGGGACAAAACUGUGAUCAGG
This is a long non-coding RNA of Dreissena polymorpha, 504 nucleotides long. RefSeq lists it as uncharacterized. The transcript has 4 exons. The record is from RefSeq and is a predicted model, not a curated record. NCBI's taxonomy places the organism in Eukaryota, Metazoa, Mollusca, Bivalvia, Myida, Dreissenidae.